Molecule: ribosomal RNA, 479 nt
Filed under: uncultured bacterium
Lineage: Bacteria
Description: bacterial SSU rRNA
Rfam family: Bacterial small subunit ribosomal RNA
Source: RNAcentral
AGGACGAACGCUGGCGGCGUGCUUAACACAUGCAAGUCGAACGGGCACUUCGGUGUCAGUGGCGAACGGGUGAGUAAAGCGCAGGUAAUCUGCCGCAAAGUCGGGGACAACGUUCCGAAAGGGACGCUAAUACCGGAUGUUGUAGAUGAUUCGCAUGAGUUAUCUACCAAAGAUUUAUCGCUUUGCGAGGAGCCUGCGUCCGAUUAGGUAGUUGGUGGGGUAAGAGCCUACCAAGCCGACGAUCGGUAGCCGGUCUGAGAGGAUGAACGGCCACAAUGGAACUGAGACACGGUCCAUACUCCUACGGGAGGCAGCAGUGGGGAAUAUUCCACAAUGGGGGAAACCCUGAUGGAGCCGACGCCGCGUGAGUGAAGAAGGGCUUCGGCUCGUAAAGCUCUUUUCUCGUCGACGAAUUAGCCUUCGGGGCAGUUGACGGUAGACGGGGAAUAAGCCACGGCUAACUACGUGCCAGCCGCCGC